RNAcentral lists this ribosomal RNA (332 nucleotides) under uncultured Pantoea sp. RNAcentral's name for it is "bacterial SSU rRNA". It matches the Rfam family "Bacterial small subunit ribosomal RNA", at positions 1 to 349 of the family's 1533-position model. The record is from RNAcentral. Lineage: Bacteria; Pseudomonadati; Pseudomonadota; Gammaproteobacteria; Enterobacterales; Erwiniaceae.
CGCCCUUAGAGUUUGAUCAUGGCUCAGAUUGAACGCUGGCGGCAGGCCUAACACAUGCAAGUCGGACGGUAAGAGAGCUUGCUCUCGACGAGUGGCGGACGGGUGAGUAAUGUCUGGGAAACUGCCCGAUGGAGGGGGAUAACUACUGGAAACGGUAGCUAAUACCGCAUAACGUCGCAAGACCAAAGUGGUUCGUCACACCAUCGGAUGUGCCCAGAUGGGAUUAGCUAGUAGGUGGGGUAACGGCUCACCUAGGCGACGAUCCCUAGCUGGUCUGAGAGGAUGACCAGCCACACUGGAACUGAGACACGGUCCAGACUCCUACGGGAGGC